AGCAGUCGCCGCGGUAAUACGUAGGGUGCAAGCGUUAAUCGGAAUUACUGGGCGUAAAGCGUGCGCAGGCGGUUAUAUAAGACAGAUGUGAAAUCCCCGGGCUCAACCUGGGAACUGCAUUUGUGACUGUAUAGCUAGAGUACGGCAGAGGGGGAUGGAAUUCCGCGUGUAGCAGUGAAAUGCGUAGAUAUGCGGAGGAACACCGAUGGCGAAGGCAAUCCCCUGGGCCUGUACUGACGCUCAUGCACUAAAGCGUGGGGAGCAAACAGGAUUAGAUACCCCGGUAGUCCCUGUCUCUUAUAC
This 303-nucleotide ribosomal RNA is filed under the name uncultured bacterium. Its description in RNAcentral is "partial 16S ribosomal RNA". It matches the Rfam family "Bacterial small subunit ribosomal RNA", at positions 507 to 807 of the family's 1533-position model. The record is from RNAcentral.